CGAGGGGGGUCAUGAGAGCCGGGGGGGAUGAGGGGCUGGCUCUCAGUCCCCGCCUCGCGGGGGGUGCCUCCCCCCCCUGCGAUGGGGGCCCUAAGGGCCAGGGGGGAUGUGGGGCUGGCUCUCAGUCCCUGCCUCGUGGGGGGUGCCUCCCCCCCCUGCGAUGGGGGUCCUGUGUCCACAGUCUACAAUACCCCACAGCUCCCAAGAAUUCCCUCACCUGCCUUCUGCCCUUAGGCUCUGGUAGAUUGUAAAUAACCUGCUUUCUUUCUGUUCCCGGGCGGUGUCGAACCCCUGUCGGAGAGUAAAUCCGAAGUAAGGUACCUGCCGUGGGCAGAUUUGAGCUUUCUUCUUGGACACCUAAUACCCACAGUCCUCCAGGCUCCGGUAGAUUGCAAAUGACCUGCUUUCUUUCUGUUCCCGGCGUUUGGACCCCUGUCGGAUAGUAAAUCCCAAGUAAAGUACCUGCCGUGGGCAGAUUUGAGCUUUCUUCUUGGACACCUAAUACCCAGAGUCGUCCAGGCUCCGGUAGAUUGCAAAUGACCUGCUUUCUUUCUGUUCCCGGCGUUUGGACCCCUGUCGGAUAGUAAAUCCCAAGUAAGGUACCUGCCGUGGGCAGAUUUGAGCUUUCUUCUUGGACACCUAAUACCCAGAGUCGUCCAGGUGGGUCCUUAAGGUUCUUAGGAUCCCCGAUGGGGGUCCUAAGCCAGGGGGGGAUGAGGGGCUGGCUCUCAGUCCCGGCUUCGUGGGGGGUGCCUCCCCCCCCUGCGAUGGGGGCCCUAAGAGCCAGGGGGGAUGUGGGUCUGGCUCUCAGUCCCUGCCUCGUGGGGGGUGCCUCC
Gorilla gorilla gorilla (western lowland gorilla) is the source of this 836-nucleotide long non-coding RNA. RefSeq lists it as uncharacterized. The transcript is spliced from 3 exons. The record is from RefSeq and is a predicted model, not a curated record. Lineage: Eukaryota; Metazoa; Chordata; Mammalia; Primates; Hominidae.